This 118-nucleotide ribosomal RNA is filed under the name Solanum lycopersicum (tomato). Lineage: Eukaryota; Viridiplantae; Streptophyta; Magnoliopsida; Solanales; Solanaceae. The record is from RNAcentral.
GGAUGUAAUCAUACCAAUACUAAUGCACCGGAUCCCAUCAGACUCCGAAGUUAAGCGUUCUUGGGCGAGAGUAGUACUAGGAUGGGUGACCCCCUGGGAAGUCCUCGUGUUUCAUCCC